AAUGGAAAAUUGAAACCCUAAUCUUCACCCAAUAGUGUUUUGCCAUAUUUUUCUAUUAUCCAAUAAAAUUUUGACACACCUAGGUUUCCAUUGAUUCUAGGUUUACAUGUUUACAUGGCUUACUAGAAGGUUUGAUGUCUAUGAUACUGAUAAAGUGACAAAUGGUAAACUAGAAACAUGCAUUGGGGCCAGAAGGAUAUAUAUUUCUUUUUUCUCAAUUUUUUUUUCAUUUGAGAAGUUUCUUUCUCUCUCUUCUCUCUUUCUCAUACGCGCUCUCUCUCUCUCUUUUCUCACCAUUGUUCAUGAUGAACAACAAGAACACCAUGCAUGUUCAUCCCCAUACCCAGAUUCCGGCGAGCAACCACCGUCGCCGGAAAGUCCAAUCACUUCCAUCUCUUUUUUCCCUCAACCGUUCUUAAUAUCUCCCUGCCCUCACCAUCUCGUCCUUCACCACCGCAUCCACCACAACCUCCACCGCCACCUACAAAUCAAUCUCCGAAUCAGAACGUCCUAUCUGCUUCCGGUGAUGCCGCCGUCAUCAGAAUCACGUUAUUCUUCCUCUCAGGUCUGAAUUGUGCAGAGGCAGUCAAUUUUGCUCCAGCUGACUGGCUACCACACGGUUCAUUUGGAGCUGAUCUCUAUAAGCAGUUUCACAAAACAACUGUCUUGUCUCAUGAGGAGCUUCUUUGUGUAGUAGCCCAGGGUUGGAGAAGUGAGAUGGAGAGGAACUGGAUUGGUUGUCCAACAAUGAUACUUAGUUCUAAGGAUCCGAGACUGUAUCUUCACUUGGCGCCGGAAUUUGCUCACUACAAGGGAAAUCACACUUAUGUGCAUGCGACAAGAAAAGGAUAUUGGCAGUUUGAUAUGGGAGAUGUAAUUAUUGAUGGUAAAUCCACCGGAUAUAUUGUGUUGAUGGCUGUGCGGCCAUUGCUGACUCGGGGACUUAUUUGUUGGCGGUUCGAAUGGUAUGAAUAAAUGGCCUGUAGAUAUAGAUCGAUAUUUAGCUUUUUCUUUUUCUUUUUUUUUUGACAGUGGAGUUUGAUAGAUUGUUAGAUUUGCCACUGAUGAAAAUUGGAAAGGAACUGUUAGAUGGGAUAAUGACUACUCCUUUCUAUUUCACUUUAAAUUGUUUUCAAUUUUAACAUGUUAUACUAUAUGCAGCACUAUGAUUGGUUCUUUAAUGAUACAGUGUAUCUUUGUUGGGGGCUUCAAAAAUUGAAAAUUUGUAUUCUAUUGUUCAAUUCCAACUCACCAAGUUUGCGAAAUCCAAACCAUUUGCAAUUGUUUGCAAUUGUAAAAUUUUCGAUUUUCAGUAACUGUGUUUUGUGUAAUGGUACAGAACAAACGUGAACCAAAAGACUUGUGGCAGGAACCUUUGGUCCCUGCUUCUUCUUGGACACCAUGUUUUGAUCAGCAAAGUUGGGAACCUAAUGGUAUGUGUGUCUGAACUUUGAAAUUUGACGAUUAUUAUCAUGAUUCAUGUCUGUGCAUAACUACAAUUACAAAUAAAGAAAGGCUUAUUGGUCCAUUAUGAGUACUCACAGUUUGCUUUCUUCUAUUGCACUACUUCAAUAGAGGGAAGUAAUGGAUACAUUUUGGUUACUGCAAAUGGUGGGAUCAACCAACAACGGGUAGUUGUAAGUGGUCUUUGUCUGACUGAUAUUUUUUACGAUGACGGUUUAGAAUUAUUUAGGAUUAAUUUAUUUGAAAGGGAAAAAACAUAACAAGUUUUGUCUUGAAUGAUUUUAGUGUCAUUUGUGCUGAUUAUGAGUUGCAACAGGUUUGUAAUGCUAUCGUUGUUGGUUGCAGGUAGUACUAAGUUGAAAGUUGAAACUAAUCUUUAAGAAUAUGUCAUGGCAGCCAUGGUUCUCAAAUAACAGGUUCACUUCUAAGUAAUUUGCUAGAUGUGGUUGAGGAGGUUCAGUUAGCUCGGGUAGAGAUUAGAAAUUUUGUCCAUGCUAAGUUCAUUUCUCAUUCAGUUUCUUUUUAUGAAUGGCUUUGCAACUAUUGAGAAAUCGCGCCACAUCGUCGACAUUCAAUUUGUUCUCCAAUGCUAUUCGCCGUUUCUCUUCUGGUAUUUUCAUUUCUCUUCUUUGCCACAUUAUUCAUUCCCUCAAUUCUAACAUUUAGAUUGUAAUAUGUGUAUUUAAGAUAAGGUAAUUACACAUGAAUGAAAGAGAAACGAGUAAGGGAACAGACUGUGCCCAUAACCCUUUUUGGAUGACAAAACCAACCCUCUUAGAAACAUUUAGAUCAAUAUUCAUGGUAUCUUGUAGUAUUGGGGGAAAGGAAAUUAGGCAGCUUUGAUGUUUACUUUAAGUUAUGGUUCCUCAUUAAUGUUUUAAAACCCGAACCGGACAUAGAACCGGUGAGACUGAGACCUCUGGGUCAUGGUUCACAUGAGUUUCACCCAAUUAGAGAAUGAAUGCUAGAGAGUGUUGCUAGCACUCCUCUUAGGUCAUUGCGUCUGACUAUGCUGCUUUGUUUAUGUCAUUGUUUUGGCUUUGUAGCUGAGGUUUCUAACGGAAUUCCCGAAGAGGCACGUGAGAGAAUGUUGUAUUCUGACAUAAACUCACAGAUUGGUAGUUGCAUGCCUCUCUCUUCAAUGCGAAUUGGAACAAUCAUUCACAACAUUGAGCUGAACCCGGGGCAAAGUGGAAAGCUUGUCCGAGCGGCCGGAACCAAUGCAAAGAUCUUGAAAGAGCCCACGUCACAGUACUGUUUAAUGACACACACACACUGACAUACAUGUCUAAUCCAAGAAGUGUCUGUACCUCAUAGUGUAUAGUCAAGUUUGAAGACGUCUGAACUACUCCUCACACUUACCACUUUCUUUUUACCAUCCAACCCUUCUACUAUUAUAUUUAUAUAUAUAUUCAUAGAUAUAAGACUUGAAAUUGAAGGUCAAACAUAAUAUUAGCAAUACAAAAUAUCAAAGUUCACACUUACUUGAGUUAAUUCCUUUAACUCAGCAGCCAUGGAUUGGUUCUCAUGGCUUUCAAAAACCAAUCUUGAGCCAUCACUUGUAUAUGAGUAUGGUCUUAUCUUUGCACAAAAUGAGCUUGAAGAAAAAGACAUGAAUUACUUCAACCAUGAGUUUCUCCAAAGCAUGGGAAUCUCCAUAGCUAAACACAGACACGAGAUUUAUGAUAUUUGAUGUCCCCUCUCUCUAUUACUUUCUAUGGUGUUUGUCAUAUUAUCUCCAUCAUAUAUUAGGAGGAGAAAGUUGCAUUAGGAGACUAUCCUACUAAGUUUGUUUGUUGAAUUGCUCUCCCGGACAUUUUUAACACAUUCAUUUUUUUGAAGGGCGAGUAACGAGAAAGAAGUUGGAAAGUUGUUAUUAACUAUUGUUGAGAGAAUGUAGCAAGAUUAGCAAUGCCAUGAUGAAGGAGUGACUUGCAAUGUUUUCCCUUAGCAUUCUGAUUUACAAGGAAUGGAGGAUGUAAAACCCAAAGCAAAUCAUUUUCUUCACACGAUGGAGUGGAGCUGUGUAUGAAAAAGAAAAGUUAAAAAAAAAAAUUUCAUAUACCUUUUCUUUUGUAGAAGCUUUUCAUAUAUAUUUUAAUAUUAAAAUUUUUCUACUGUAUUUAUUUUCUUCAUUAUAGAAGAAGGCCAUGUAUUUUCAAGGAUGGACGUUUAAGUCAAACCAGUUCUCUAAGCUAGCAUUUGAAAAUAAAUUAUCAGUUGAAGAGAAUUAUAUUAUCCGACUAAUUUGUAAUUUGGAGAUAGUUUGUAUCAGAAAAUCGAUUACUUAUUUGUACAUUUCGUUUUGAUUAUGUAAUUGGAUAUCUUAUAAUACUUAAAUUGGGUUCAGAAUAUUGUUAAUA
This is an RNA transcript of Trifolium pratense (red clover), 3827 nucleotides long. RefSeq lists it as uncharacterized. Lineage: Eukaryota; Viridiplantae; Streptophyta; Magnoliopsida; Fabales; Fabaceae. The record is from RefSeq and is a predicted model, not a curated record. The transcript is spliced from 8 exons.